This 355-nucleotide unclassified non-coding RNA is filed under the name soil metagenome. RNAcentral describes it as "partial contains 5.8S ribosomal RNA, internal transcribed spacer 2, and large subunit ribosomal RNA". The stretch from base 1 to 120 matches the Rfam family "5.8S ribosomal RNA", at positions 35 to 154 of the family's 154-position model. The record is from RNAcentral.
GAUGAAGAACGCAGCGAAAUGCGAUAAGUAAUGUGAAUUGCAGAAUUCAGUGAAUCAUCGAAUCUUUGAACGCACAUUGCGCCCGCUGGUAUUCCGGCGGGCAUGCCUGUUCGAGCGUCAUUUCAACCCUCAAGCUCUCCGGAGUUUGGUGUUGGGGCGCCUGGGGCUUUUCGACCUCAGGGCCCUCAAGUCCAUCGGCGGGACCGCCAGGACACUGAGCGCAGUAGUAUUAUUUCGCUCGGUAGGAUCUUCCACGGCGGGUCGAUCUGGCCGCUAAACCCCCCAAUUCUCACCAAAGGUUGACCUCGGAUCAGGUAGGAAUACCCGCUGAACUUAAGCAUAUCUAAGCGGAGGA